UACGGAGGGUGCGAGCGUUGUCCGGAAUCACUGGGCGUAAAGGGCGCGUAGGCGGCUCAUGAAGGCUGUGGUGAAAGUCCGGGGCUCAACCUCGGAUCGGCCGUGGCGACUCGUGGGCUGGAGCACUGUAGAGGCGGGUGGAAUUCCGGGUGUAGCGGUGGAAUGCGUAGAGAUCCGGAAGAACACCAGUGGCGAAGGCGGCCCGCUGGGCAGUGGCUGACGCUGAUGUGCGAAAGCGUGGGGAGCAAACAGG
This 253-nucleotide ribosomal RNA is filed under the name uncultured bacterium. RNAcentral's name for it is "partial 16S ribosomal RNA". It matches the Rfam family "Bacterial small subunit ribosomal RNA", at positions 524 to 776 of the family's 1533-position model. The record is from RNAcentral.